AUUGAACGCUGGCGGCAUGCCUUACACAUGCAAGUCGAACGGCAGCGCGGGGCAACCUGGCGGCGAGUGGCGAACGGGUGAGUAAUAUAUCGGAACAUACCCUAGAGUGGGGGAUAACGUAGCGAAAGUUACGCUAAUACCGCAUACGCACUAAGGUGGAAAGUGGGGGAUUCGCAAGAACCUCAUGCUCAUGGAGUGGCCGAUAUCUGAUUAGCUAGUUGGUGAGGUAAAGGCUCACCAAGGCAACGAUCAGUAGCUGGUUUGAGAGAACGACCAGCCACACUGGAACUGAGACACGGUCCAGACUCCUACGGAGGCAGCAGUGGGGAAUUUUGGACAAUGGGGGCAACCCUGAUCCAGCAAUGCCGCGUGAGUGAAGAAGGCCUCGGUUGGUU
This 395-nucleotide ribosomal RNA is filed under the name uncultured bacterium. RNAcentral describes it as "bacterial SSU rRNA". It matches the Rfam family "Bacterial small subunit ribosomal RNA", at positions 30 to 424 of the family's 1533-position model. The record is from RNAcentral.